This 286-nucleotide ribosomal RNA is filed under the name uncultured Methylomirabilota bacterium. Its description in RNAcentral is "uncultured candidate division NC10 bacterium partial 16S ribosomal RNA". It matches the Rfam family "Bacterial small subunit ribosomal RNA", at positions 1060 to 1345 of the family's 1533-position model. Lineage: Bacteria; Methylomirabilota (SeqCode). The record is from RNAcentral.
UCGUGUCGUGAGAUGUUGGGUUAAGUCCCGCAACGAGCGCAACCCUCACCUCUUGUUGCCAUCAGGUCAUGCUGGGCACUCUAGAGGAACUGCCCCGGUCAACGGGGAGGAAGGCGGGGAUGACGUCAAGUCAUCAUGCCCCUUACGUCCUGGGCUACACACGUGCUACAAUGGCCGGUACAAAGGGAUGCCACACCGCGAGGUAGAGCUAAACCCAAAAAGCCGGUCUAAGUUCAGAUUGGAGUCCGCAACUCGACUCCAUGAAGGAGGAAUCGCUAGUAAUCGC